RNAcentral lists this long non-coding RNA (1092 nucleotides) under Mustela putorius furo (domestic ferret). RNAcentral's name for it is "lncRNA (ENSMPUG00000028515.1)". The record is from RNAcentral. Lineage: Eukaryota; Metazoa; Chordata; Mammalia; Carnivora; Mustelidae.
GGUUUACAGUGGAAAUGGCAUAAUGUCUAGAGUUGGUUUAAAAUAGUUUAGAAAACAAACAACAAACAACAAGGGUGGGAGGGUAUAAAUGAAAACAAACGGACAAACGCCGUAACUGUUCGAGCUGACCGACGGACAGACGCCGUAACUGUUCGAGCUGACCGAUGGAUACAAAGAUCGUUUUUACCCUGCUCUUCCUGCUUUUAUGUUUGAAAAUUGUGCACAAUAGAAAUCAUGAUCUCAAUUCAUUUGCCUUAGAAAUGAGCACAUCCACAAACUGAAAACUCCACUUUCUUGAAUUAGUGAUUAGUUUGCAGAGGCAUUCUUUACCGGGAUUGCUUUUGGAGCUACCCACAUCAAGCCAGAGUCGUUUUUGUCCCUGGAUGCCUCUUUUCUCUCCGCACGGUGUGCAGAGACUCGGAGGCCCAGCGGAUCGCCGCACUGUUACGUCAGGCUGAAAUCAGCUCGAGAGCUCAGCCAGCACCACAGAACAUAGACGACGGUCUGCCCUGCGCUACAAAAUCCCGGCGAGGUGCCAGGAUUCACUUUACUUUCUGUGACAUUGUGGGGAUGAGGGGAAGGAACGUCUUUCUGUUACGUUUCACCAGGGGUGGGGUGGGGGGAGAGGGCAGGAGGCCUGGAAUCAGGAGUGCCUCCCUGUCUUUACCCACCAUUGAAGGAACCCAGAAUCUCCUCUAUCUGCUAUGGACGUGCCCAUGAGAAGGAAGGGCAAUCUCAUGUUUGCCGUUAGGAACACACAGGAAGAGAAGUGUUCUUGGCAUUCUUAUACUGCAACAAGUGCUACCUUUCCUUAUAGAAACCAAGAUAGUGCUUCCUCCAAGAUGAACUCCAAGAUGAACUCCGAGAUGAACAAACACCGUGUGGAGAAGCAUGAGGAAUUGGGCGGUUGUCAGAGAAGCCUGAGAACUGCUUGGUUACAUCCAUUCAUCAUGGAAACAUCAGGUGAGACUAGUAUUUCUUGGAACACACUAUGGAAAAUGCCACCUUUGACCAAACUGUUUUCAACUCAAGUCUCAAGUGGAUAAUGGACUGUUAACUUCAGUUUCUUUCUUUUUGGGUCUAUGAUUGUCA